GAUGAACGCUGGCGGCGUGCCUAAUACAUGCAAGUAGAACGCUGAAGGAAGGAGCUUGCUCUUUCCGGAUGAGUUGCGAACGGGUGAGUAACGCGUAGGUAACCUGCCUGGUAGCGGGGGAUAACUAUUGGAAACGAUAGCUAAUACCGCAUAACAGUAGAUGUUGCAUGAUAUCUACUUAAAAGGUGCAAUUGCACCACUACCAGAUGGACCUGCGUUGUAUUAGCUAGUUGGUGAGGUAACGGCUCACCAAGGCGACGAUACAUAGCCGACCUGAGAGGGUGAUCGGCCACACUGGGACUGAGACACGGCUCAGACUCCUACGGGAGGCAGCAGUAGGGAAUCUUCGGCAAUGGACGGAAGUCUGACCGAGCAACGCCGCGUGAGUGAAGAAGGUUUUCGGAUCGUAAAGCUCUGUUGUAAGAGAAGAACGAGUGUGAGAGUGGAAAGUUCACACUGUGACGGUAUCUUACCAGAAAGGGACGGCUAACUACGUG
RNAcentral lists this ribosomal RNA (497 nucleotides) under uncultured bacterium. RNAcentral describes it as "partial 16S ribosomal RNA". It matches the Rfam family "Bacterial small subunit ribosomal RNA", at positions 28 to 507 of the family's 1533-position model. The record is from RNAcentral.